RNAcentral lists this transfer RNA (85 nucleotides) under Candidatus Pinguicoccus supinus. It matches the Rfam family "tRNA". From Rfam's summary of the family: Transfer RNA (tRNA) molecules are approximately 80 nucleotides in length. Their secondary structure includes four short double-helical elements and three loops (D, anti-codon, and T loops). Further hydrogen bonds mediate the characteristic L-shaped molecular structure. tRNAs have two regions of fundamental functional importance: the anti-codon, which is responsible for specific mRNA codon recognition, and the 3' end, to which the tRNAs corresponding amino acid is attached (by aminoacyl-tRNA synthetases). tRNAs cope with the degeneracy of the genetic code in two manners: having more than one tRNA (with a specific anti-codon) for a particular amino acid; and 'wobble' base-pairing, i.e. permitting non-standard base-pairing at the 3rd anti-codon position. The record is from Rfam by way of RNAcentral. Lineage: Bacteria; Pseudomonadati; Verrucomicrobiota.
GGAGGGUUGGUAGAGUGGUUUAUUACGUCGGUUUUGAAAACCGAUAAGUUACUUAACUUCGAGGGUUCAAAUCCCUCACCCUCCU